CACCCCGCUGACGAGCGGCGGACGGGUGAGUAAUGCUUAGGAAUCUGCCCAGUAGUGGGGGACAACAGUCGGAAACGGCUGCUAAUACCGCAUACGCCCUACGGGGGAAAGCAGGGGAUCUUCGGACCUUGCGCUAUUGGAUGAGCCUAAGUCGGAUUAGCUAGUUGGUGGGGUAAAGGCCUACCAAGGCGACGAUCCGUAGCUGGUCUGAGAGGAUGAUCAGCCACAUCGGGACUGAGACACGGCCCGAACUCCUACGGGAGGCAGCAGUGGGGAAUAUUGGACAAUGGGGGCAACCCUGAUCCAGCCAUGCCGCGUGUGUGAAGAAGGCUUUCGGGUUGUAAAGCACUUUCAGCGAGGAGGAAGGCCUUAAAGUUAAUACCUUUAAGGAUUGACGUUACUCGCAGAAGAAGCACCGGCUAACUCCGUGCCAGCAGCCGCGGUAAUACGGAGGGUGCAAGCGUUAAUCGGAAUUACUGGGCGUAAAGCGCGCGUAGGUGGUUUGGUAAGCGAGAUGUGAAAGCCCCGGGCUUAACCUGGGAACGGCAUUUCGAACUGUCAGACUAGAGUGUGGUAGAGGGUAGUGGAAUUUC
RNAcentral lists this ribosomal RNA (593 nucleotides) under Marinobacter vinifirmus. RNAcentral's name for it is "bacterial SSU rRNA". It matches the Rfam family "Bacterial small subunit ribosomal RNA", at positions 81 to 670 of the family's 1533-position model. The record is from RNAcentral. Lineage: Bacteria; Pseudomonadati; Pseudomonadota; Gammaproteobacteria; Pseudomonadales; Marinobacteraceae.